AUCCCAAUAUUCAGCUGUUUUAUUGAAUUAAGUAAAUAUGCUCCCUGGAUUCUUCCAUUCACUCAUUCAUUUACUUUCUCACUCAACAAAUAUUUAUUAAGCACUUACUGUGUACCAGGCACUGUUCUGGGUGCUAGGAAUGCAGCAGGAAACCAAACCCAUCCAGAUGCCUAUCCUGGUGGAGUUAACACUUACUAUUGUACUAUAUUAAAUGGCUAGUCCGGGAAGACUUCCCAGGUCGAGUCUCCCAAGUAAAGAUCUGAAGGCGUGAGAGUGGGAGCCAUGUGAAGUUCUGGGGAGAGAGCAUUCCUGGCUGAGGGACUGCCAUGCUAAGACCUCGAAGCCAUGUGCCCCAUGGUUCAAGGAACAGCAAGGAAGCCAGCCCAGUGCUGUGGCUGGUGGGGAUGAAUAAGAGGACACAAGUCAGAAAAUUAGGAUGGAGGAGGUACACAUCAUUUUGAGCACUAUAAAGACCAGAUGUUACUCUGAAUGAACCUGAGACUUGGACUCUUAUUCUGGGUUGCCAGGGUCCUAAUCUGGGUUGGAGAAAAGAAGCUUACAUGAAGUGAGAGACUGUGAGAGCUGGGCCCAAGUCUGUCCACUCCAGAACCUGAGCAGCUCUCGAUCAUCAAUGCGAGACCACCCAACGUAGACAAAGCAAAUGGAACUCUUUGAAGAAAGAUACCUCGAUCCAAGCGAUCCUCACGGAAGCUGGGAGAUACCUGCCUUGCGGGGCUCCUUGGGCAUCUUCCCCAAACAGGAGGUCAAGCGAGACUGGAGAGGUGCCUGCAGGAGAAAGUCAGAGGCUUCCCAGACACCCUGUCUAUACAGAGAUCACAGCCGGGAGCAGAAUAAAUGAGCACUUCACCAACUUGAAAAUACAAUUCUCUUGGUUAUUAAUAGUCAAAAGACUCCCAGUACUGGGCCAGAAGUUUCUUUUUUAGUAGCAAUUACUUAAAUUAAGUUUCUGAUUUGUAUUAAAGUUUUCUGGCAGAACUCAACACAGGAUGCAAGAGCAUGAGGAAGAUUUCCAAACAAGAUUACACGGUUUUCCGAUGUGAUACAUUUGAUCAUCUCUGAAAAGGCAGGGGCGACAUUGCAAUCUUAAUUGAAAUGUCAAAUUCUUGGGAAACGUUCUCCUUGUUAACAUUGGACUUAAGGAUUGUAAUGAUUAUUUACUUUGAGCUCCAGAGGUUUUGAAGAAAUGUAAAAGAAUCCUAAGCAGUCUUCUCUUCCUUGAACUAGGCCUUUUCAAAGAAUGCUUCUGCUCAUUGACCAGCAGGUUGAGAGAUUUAUAUUUGGUUUCUAAUUAAGUACCCUAACUGUAAGUGAGAGAAUGGAGAAGAAAAGCCCAUAGUCUUAUAUCCCAAGAAGAAAGCAAGUGUUUGCUUCAGUGGCAAACCUGCCUUCUCAGGAGUCUAAGGGGGAGCAAAGAAGGCCCAUUUUAUUUCUUCUGAAGACAUCCUCUGGCGCUUGAGAACGUCUGAUGUUGUUUAGCAGGGUAAGCCAACCGCUGAUGGGUUCUGUUAAGAACAAAAGCCUUGGCUUCUGGUCCCAGAGAGUAAUGAAUUUCUAGUAACACUUAACAUGGUAAUUACGAUGAAAAAUGUAUUUUAAAAUUAAUGUACUUUAACAGAUAUGUCAAGUUGAAUCCAGAGCCAAGGACACUGGCUUAAACUAAAUUGACUUAUGGCCUUUUGGGAUUCUUGGGUCAUGUAAGAGCUCAGUUUGACUUUAUCCCUAACUCAGUUUCUCUAUUCCCUCUUCAUAUCACAACUAUUAGAGACAUAAAAAGUGCCCUGUGACUAUGAUAUAGUCUUUUGGGAGACCUGGAAGAUGUCAUAUCUUUUUUUUCUUGAAAAUAAAGUUUAUAGGGGUCCCUGGGUAGCUCAGUCAAUUGAGCCUCCUACUCUUGAUUUCAGCUGAGGUUGUGAUAUCUGGGUCAUGGGGUCAGGCCUGGCCUCAGGCUUCAUGCUCAGCGUGGAGUCUGCUUGUCUCUCUCCUUCCCCCUGAUUGUAUACUCUCUCUCUCUAAAAUAAUAAAAUCCUUUUUAAAAAAUUAAAAAUUAAAAAAAAAGGAAAGUUUAUCGGGGCACCUGACUGACUCAGCCAAGGGGGCACAUGAAUCUUGACCUUGGAGUUGUGAGUUCAAGCCCCAUAUUGGAUAUAGAGAUUACUUAAAAAUAAAAUCUUUUUUAUUUUUAAAGAAAGUGUAUAAAAACAACACAUUGUAAAAAUAUUAUCCCAAACCCAAAAAGCUGAUUCUUCUGUCCGUUUCAAAGAAAUCAAGAUAGAAAUAAAAUUGUUUUUAUUAAUAUUUGGAGGACGGCAUUCAUAUCUAAGUAAGAAUUAUGCUUGUGAAAAAAAGAGAUCUGAACUCACUCUAAAAAAUUUUGCCCCCUUCCAUUUCUGUACAUUAGAAAACCGUUCCUGCCUUCCUCUUUACUUUUCCAAGUUAUUAAAGAUUUUGUGUCUUUCUUAGUUUCCCGGUAUGAAGCAAAACACUGUAAAUACAUCAGAGAAAUGCUAGAAUUUUAGCCAGUAAUAAUUCAAAGCUUUGACUCUGAAUACAGGCACCCACUAUUCACAGUAUUUCCCAUUGUAUCCUGUUUACAGAGAACCCAGAUGAAUGGUGCCCACCUGGAGGUGUCCCAUGGACCGAAAUAAUCUUAGCAAAUGUGCGAUGGUCUGGGUACAGCCGCUGCUACCUCCUCAUCUAGCUGAGCCCACUGCUUGGUGCCACCAGUCUGUUAGAUAGUAACCUUCAAGCCCUCCUGGCCUUGUUGAUAUUUCGUUGCCUAUCAGUGGAUCAUUAGUUGGAGUAUUUCCUUAGUCAUAGAGACUAGCCGUUUGUUGGGACGUUCUCAGUAGGAACUACAGUUGAAGAUAACAGAAGGGUUAUUUAAACAUGAAUGUGAAAACACAAAACAAAACACUUCUUUCUUCUUGGGGCCUAAGACUGUUUUGUUAUUUUCUGAUUCUUAAACUUGUUCAGGCUUCUUAAGUGCAGAGAUCUGAUUGUCUUUUUAAUCUUUCCUGUGACAUUUGAAUGUUUAAGUCUUUUGAGAAUAUAUAUAUUUACAUUUUCCAACCAGCCAACGGCACUUAAUAUCUUCUAUAGUUCCAAAGAUUAGGAAAAGAAGAGAAAGCUAGAGAGUUGGCAAGCAAGUGUGUAAUAAUCUGGCAAGGAAAUUCUUGAGCAAGAAUAUAUGGGUUUGAGUUUAUUGGAACAUUUGAAAGCAAUUAAAUUGUUUUUUUCCCCUCAAACUUAUUUUUGUCCUUUUUACUUUAAGCACACAGAGGCAUACAGCUGAAAAAUAACAUUGCAAGUAUAAAUGAAUCAUUAAGCUGAUCAAGCCAAGAAGCUACUACCAGGAGUCUUUAUAGAAUACUAGGUAAGGGGGAUCCCUGGGUGGCGCAGCAGGUUUGGCGCCUGCCUUUGGCCCAGGGCGCGAUCCUGGAGACCCGGGAUCGAAUCCCACAUCAGGCUCCCGGUGCA
This is a long non-coding RNA of Canis lupus familiaris (dog), 3498 nucleotides long. RefSeq lists it as uncharacterized. NCBI's taxonomy places the organism in Eukaryota, Metazoa, Chordata, Mammalia, Carnivora, Canidae. The record is from RefSeq and is a predicted model, not a curated record. The transcript is spliced from 5 exons.